This 73-nucleotide transfer RNA is filed under the name Camelus bactrianus (Bactrian camel). It matches the Rfam family "tRNA". From Rfam's summary of the family: Transfer RNA (tRNA) molecules are approximately 80 nucleotides in length. RNAcentral also lists the same sequence under 3 other names. Lineage: Eukaryota; Metazoa; Chordata; Mammalia; Artiodactyla; Camelidae. The record is from Rfam by way of RNAcentral.
GAGGGUAUAGCUCAAGCAGUGGAGUGCAUGUUUAGCAUGCACGAGGUCCUGGGUUCAAUCCCCAGUACCUCCU